RNAcentral lists this ribosomal RNA (228 nucleotides) under uncultured Acholeplasma sp. RNAcentral describes it as "partial 16S ribosomal RNA". It matches the Rfam family "Bacterial small subunit ribosomal RNA", at positions 1158 to 1382 of the family's 1533-position model. Lineage: Bacteria; Bacillati; Mycoplasmatota; Mollicutes; Acholeplasmatales; Acholeplasmataceae. The record is from RNAcentral.
UAAACUAGGAGGAAGGUGGGGAGUGACGUCAAAUCAUCAUGCCCCUUAUGACCUGGGGCUACAAACGUGAUACAAUGGCUGAAACAAAGGGCAGCGAAGCAGUGAUGUGGAGCGAAACCCAAAAAAGCAGUCUCAGUUCGGAUUGAAGUCUGCAACUCGACUUCAUGAAGUUGGAAUCGCUAGUAAUCGUAGAUCAGAACGCUACGGUGAAUACGUUCUCGGGGGUUU